AGAGUUUGAUCAUGGCUCAGAUUGAACGCUGGCGGCAGGCCUAACACAUGCAAGUCGAACGGUAACAGGAAACAGCUUGCUGUUUCGCUGACGAGUGGCGGACGGGUGAGUAAUGUCUGGGAAACUGCCUGAUGGAGGGGGAUAACUACUGGAAACGGCAGCUAAUACCGCAUAACGUCGCAAGACCAAAGAGGGGGACCUUCGGGCCUCUUGCCAUCAGAUGUGCCCAGAUGGGAUUAGCUAGUAGGUGGGGUAACGGCUCACCUAGGCGACGAUCCCUAGCUGGUCUGAGAGGAUGACCAGCCACACUGGAACUGAGACACGGUCCAGACUCCUACGGGAGGCAGCAGUGGGGAAUAUUGCACAAUGGGCGCAAGCCUGAUGCAGCCAUGCCGCGUGUAUGAAGAAGGCCUUCGGGUUGUAAAGUACUUUCAGCGGGGAGGAAGGGAGUAAAGUUAAUACCUUUGCUCAUUGACGUUACCCGCAGAAGAAGCACCGGCUAACUCCGUGCCAGCAGCCGCGGUAAUACGGAGGGUGCGAGCGUUAAUCGGAAUUACUGGGCGUAAAGCGCACGCAGGCGGUUUGUUAAGUCAGAUGUGAAAUCCCCGGGCUCAACCUGGGAACUGCAUCUGAUACUGGCAAGCUUGAGUCUCGUAGAGGGGGGUAGAAUUCCAGGUGUAGCGGUGAAAUGCGUAGAGAUCUGGAGGAAUACCGGUGGCGAAGGCGGCCCCCUGGACGAAGACUGACGCUCAGGUGCGAAAGCGUGGGGAGCAAACAGGAUUAGAUACCCUGGUAGUCCACGCCGUAAACGAUGUCGACUUGGAGGUUGUGCCCUUGAGGCGUGGCUUCCGGAGCUAACGCGUUAAGUCGACCGCCUGGGGAGUACGGCCGCAAGGUUAAAACUCAAAUGAAUUGACGGGGGCCCGCACAAGCGGUGGAGCAUGUGGUUUAAUUCGAUGCAACGCGAAGAACCUUACCUGGUCUUGACAUCCACGGAAGUUUUCAGAGAUGAGAAUGUGCCUUCGGGAACCGUGAGACAGGUGCUGCAUGGCUGUCGUCAGCUCGUGUUGUGAAAUGUUGGGUUAAGUCCCGCAACGAGCGCAACCCUUAUCCUUUGUUGCCAGCGGUCCGGCCGGGAACUCAAAGGAGACUGCCAGUGAUAAACUGGAGGAAGGUGGGGAUGACGUCAAGUCAUCAUGGCCCUUACGACCAGGGCUACACACGUGCUACAAUGGCGCAUACAAAGAGAAGCGACCUCGCGAGAGCAAGCGGACCUCAUAAAGUGCGUCGUAGUCCGGAUUGGAGUCUGCAACUCGACUCCAUGAAGUCGGAAUCGCUAGUAAUCGUGGAUCAGAAUGCCACGGUGAAUACGUUCCCGGGCCUUGUACACACCGCCCGUCACACCAUGGGAGUGGGUUGCAAAAGAAGUAGGUAGCUUAACCUUCGGGAGGGCGCUUACCACUUUGUGAUUCAUGACUGGGGUGAAGUCGGAACAAGGUAACCGUAGGGGAACCUGCGGUUG
This 1522-nucleotide ribosomal RNA is filed under the name metagenome. RNAcentral's name for it is "bacterial SSU rRNA". It matches the Rfam family "Bacterial small subunit ribosomal RNA". The record is from RNAcentral.